GGAGCAGUGGUGCUGGCCGGUGGAGGAGCAGUGGUGCUGGCAGGUGGAGGAGCAGUGGUGCUGGCCGGUGGAGGAGCAGUGGUGCUGGCAGGUGAAGGAGCAGUGGUGCUGGC
Long non-coding RNA from Trematomus bernacchii (emerald rockcod), 113 nucleotides. RefSeq lists it as uncharacterized. Lineage: Eukaryota; Metazoa; Chordata; Actinopteri; Perciformes; Nototheniidae. The record is from RefSeq and is a predicted model, not a curated record. The transcript is spliced from 3 exons.